This 253-nucleotide ribosomal RNA is filed under the name uncultured bacterium. Its description in RNAcentral is "partial 16S ribosomal RNA". It matches the Rfam family "Bacterial small subunit ribosomal RNA", at positions 524 to 776 of the family's 1533-position model. The record is from RNAcentral.
UACGGAGGGGGCUAGCGUUGUUCGGAAUUACUGGGCGUAAAGCGCACGUAGGCGGCUUUGUAAGUUAGAGGUGAAAGCCCAGGGCUUAACCCUGGAAUUGCCUUUAAGACUGCAUCGCUAGAAUCGUGGAGAGGUGAGUGGAAUUCCGAGUGUAGAGGUGAAAUUCGUAGAUAUUCGGAAGAACACCAGUGGCGAAGGCGACUCACUGGACAAGUAUUGACGCUGAGGUGCGAAAGCGUGGGGAGCAAACAGG